CGCCGAUGAUAGUGUGGCAGUUUGCCAUGCGAAAGUAGGGAAUUGCCAAGC
RNAcentral lists this ribosomal RNA (51 nucleotides) under Methylobacter tundripaludum. The record is from RNAcentral. Lineage: Bacteria; Pseudomonadati; Pseudomonadota; Gammaproteobacteria; Methylococcales; Methylococcaceae.